RNAcentral lists this ribosomal RNA (750 nucleotides) under uncultured bacterium. RNAcentral describes it as "bacterial SSU rRNA". It matches the Rfam family "Bacterial small subunit ribosomal RNA", at positions 41 to 753 of the family's 1533-position model. The record is from RNAcentral.
GGGGAAGCUUAACAUGCAGUCGAGCGAGCUUGCCUAGAUGAUUUUAGUGCUUGCACUAAAUGAAACUAGAUACAAGCGAGCGGCGGACGGGUGAGUAACACGUGGGUAACCUGCCCAAGAGACUGGGAUAACACCUGGAAACAGAUGCUAAUACCGGAUAACAACACUAGACGCAUGUCUAGAGUUUGAAAGAUGGUUCUGCUAUCACUCUUGGAUGGACCUGCGGUGCAUUAGCUAGUUGGUAAGGUAACGGCUUACCAAGGCAAUGACGCAUAGCCGAGUUGAGAGACUGAUCGGCCACAUUGGGACUGAGACACGGCCCAAACUCCUACGGGAGGCAGCAGUAGGGAAUCUUCCACAAUGGACGAAAGUCUGAUGGAGCAACGCCGCGUGAGUGAAGAAGGGUUUCGGCUCGUAAAGCUCUGUUGGUAGUGAAGAAAGAUAGAGGUAGUAACUGGCCUUUAUUUGACGGUAAUUACUUAGAAAGUCACGGCUAACUACGUGCCAGCAGCCGCGGUAAUACGUAGGUGGCAAGCGUUGUCCGGAUUUAUUGGGCGUAAAGCGAGUGCAGGCGGUUCAAUAAGUCUGAUGUGAAAGCCUUCGGCUCAACCGGAGAAUUGCAUCAGAAACUGUUGAACUUGAGUGCAGAAGAGGAGAGUGGAACUCCAUGUGUAGCGGUGGAAUGCGUAGAUAUAUGGAAGAACACCAGUGGCGAAGGCGGCUCUCUGGUCUGCAACUGACGCUGAGGCU